This 445-nucleotide ribosomal RNA is filed under the name uncultured bacterium. RNAcentral describes it as "partial 16S ribosomal RNA". It matches the Rfam family "Bacterial small subunit ribosomal RNA", at positions 354 to 796 of the family's 1533-position model. The record is from RNAcentral.
GUGAGGAAUAUUGCGCAAUGGAGGCAACUCUGACGCAGCCAUGCCGCGUGCAGGAAGAAGGCGCUACGCGUUGUAAACUGCUUUUAACCGGGAAGAAACCCCAGGACGUGUCCUGGGUUGACGGUACCGGAGGAAUAAGCACCGGCUAACUUCGUGCCAGCAGCCGCGGUAAUACGAAGGGUGCAAGCGUUAUCCGGAUUCAUUGGGUUUAAAGGGUGCGUAGGCGGAGCGUUAAGUCAUUGGUGAAAUCCUGCAGCUUAACUGUAGACUUGCCAUUGAUACUGGCGCUCUUGAGUGCGCUUGAAGUGGGCGGAAUGUGCCGUGUAGCGGUGAAAUGCUUAGAUAUGGCACAGAACACCAAUUGCGAAGGCAGCUCACUAAGGCGAUACUGACGCUGAGGCACGAAAGCGUGGGGAUCGAACAGGAUUAGAAACCCUGGUAGUCC